GUACUUGGUUCGGCAGCACAUAUACUAAAAUUGGAACAAUACAAAGAAGAUUUGCAUGGUUCCUGGGCAAGGAUGACAUGUGAAGUCUUGAAACAUUCCAUGUUUUU
This is a small nuclear RNA of Nannospalax galili (Upper Galilee mountains blind mole rat), 107 nucleotides long. Lineage: Eukaryota; Metazoa; Chordata; Mammalia; Rodentia; Spalacidae. The record is from Ensembl.